ACGAAAAGCUGGGGGAGUUUCGACUGAGAGCGGUAUGCCACCGCGACCCUUCGUACCUGAUCCGGGUAAUGCCGGCGUAGGGAAGCGCGCCGAUAGAUUU
RNAcentral lists this non-coding RNA (100 nucleotides) under Geobacteraceae bacterium. Its description in RNAcentral is "TPP sequence". It matches the Rfam family "TPP riboswitch aptamer (THI element)". Rfam says of the family: Vitamin B(1) in its active form thiamin pyrophosphate (TPP) is an essential coenzyme that is synthesised by coupling of pyrimidine and thiazole moieties in bacteria. The previously detected thiamin-regulatory element, thi box was extended, resulting in a new, highly conserved RNA secondary structure, the THI element, which is widely distributed in eubacteria and also occurs in some archaea. Lineage: Bacteria; Pseudomonadati; Thermodesulfobacteriota; Desulfuromonadia; Geobacterales; Geobacteraceae. The record is from RNAcentral.